Molecule: long non-coding RNA, 647 nt
Filed under: Mus spicilegus (steppe mouse)
Lineage: Eukaryota; Metazoa; Chordata; Mammalia; Rodentia; Muridae
Description: lncRNA (ENSMSIG00000013871.1)
Source: RNAcentral
CCACUACCAACCCCAAAGUUCUCUCUCAUCUCAAAUAGCAACAUCAUCAAACAUACCUGUGUCCAAGCAAGAUAUAUUCCCUGGGUUUCUAUGUCUUGAAACCUAGAAUGCCCUUAAAUAGCUGCUCGCGACUACUAGCAACCAUCUUCUAAGACUUGGCUCUCAUUCUACCUUUUCAGCAAGCCCUUCCUGUGACCAUGUUCUUUGAGUGGGUUUUAAGCAUCCAGUCCUCGCCCAAGUCAUUCCAGAAAAUGAAGUCAACAUUAUCAUGGGAGAAGGUCAAGAUCCCAAGAAGUCUCCAGCAGCUGGAAUUCCCCAGGCACCUCUGACUUGGCAUCUCUACCGUGUCUCAGGGUCCUCACACAACUUCCCUACUGCCACUCAGCAAAGUCCAGGAUACAGAGCAUACCUGUGAGUUGGUCCAGGCACCUGGACAUUCCUACCUACUUUGGCACCUUCCUGCAUGUAAGAUACUCUGCUUCUAACUAUGAGUUCACCUUUAGAGCUUAUCCACUCCUUGCUUUCCAAACACAAGUUAUCUCUGUAUUUCUGUGUCCAUCCACAGAUACCCUAAGACAGUGGAGACAUCAUGCAGAACUUUGCAAACCUUAGUCUCUCUCCUUUCUCUAGCCAUGUCAUUAGAAAAA